This 476-nucleotide ribosomal RNA is filed under the name uncultured bacterium. RNAcentral describes it as "SSU rRNA". It matches the Rfam family "Bacterial small subunit ribosomal RNA", at positions 26 to 499 of the family's 1533-position model. The record is from RNAcentral.
AGAUUGAACGCUGGCGGCAUGCCUUACACAUGCAAGUCGAACGGUAACAGGGAGCUUGCUCCGCUGACGAGUGGCGAACGGGUGAGUAAUAUAUCGGAACGUACCUUUGAGUGGGGGAUAACUAGUCGAAAGAUUAGCUAAUACCGCAUACGAUCUACGGAUGAAAGCGGGGGAUCGCAAGACCUCGUGCUCAUAGAGCGGCCGAUAUCUGAUUAGCUAGUUGGUGAGGUAAAGGCUCACCAAGGCUUCGAUCAGUAGCUGGUCUGAGAGGACGACCAGCCACACUGGGACUGAGAUACGGCCCAGACUCCUACGGGAGGCAGCAGUGGGGAAUAUUGCACAAUGGGCGCAAGCCUGAUGCAGCGACGCCGCGUGGGGAUGAAGGUCUUCGGAUUGUAAACUCCUGUCAUUUGGGAACAAGGUGCACACGUUAACUGCGUGCGUAUUGAUAGUACCAGAAGAGGAAGAGACGGUAC